RNAcentral lists this ribosomal RNA (485 nucleotides) under Glomus sp. RNAcentral describes it as "SSU rRNA". It matches the Rfam family "Eukaryotic small subunit ribosomal RNA", at positions 591 to 1078 of the family's 1831-position model. Lineage: Eukaryota; Fungi; Glomeromycota; Glomeromycetes; Glomerales; Glomeraceae. The record is from RNAcentral.
CCAAUAGCGUAUAUUAAAGUUGUUGCAGUUAAAAAGCUCGUAGUUGAAUUUCGGGAUCAAUUUACUGGUCGUGCUAUCGUACGUACUGGUUUUAUUGAUUCCUCUCUUCUGAAGAACUAUGAUGUCAUUAAUUUGGUGUCAUAGGGAAUCAGGACUGUUACUUUGAAAAAAUUAGAGUGUUUAAAGCAGGCUCACGCUUGAAUACAUUAGCAUGGAAUAACGGAAUAGGACGUUUGAUUCUAUUUUGUUGGUUUCUAGGAUCGACGUAAUGAUUAAUAGGGAUAGUUGGGGGCAUUAGUAUUCAAUUGUCAGAGGUGAAAUUCUUGGAUUUAUUGAAGACUAACUACUGCGAAAGCAUUUGCCAAGGAUGUUUUCAUUAAUCAAGAACGAAAGUUAGGGGAUCGAAGACGAUCAGAUACCGUCGUAGUCUUAACCAUAAACUAUGCCGACUAGGGAUCGGAUGAUGUUAAUUUUUUAAUGACUCA